This is a long non-coding RNA of Alligator sinensis (Chinese alligator), 1216 nucleotides long. RefSeq lists it as uncharacterized. The transcript is spliced from 4 exons. The record is from RefSeq and is a predicted model, not a curated record. Lineage: Eukaryota; Metazoa; Chordata; Crocodylia; Alligatoridae.
UCCGGCAGAGGGGAGCUGCGGAGGUCGGGGCAGCUGCGCUUCCGCUGCAGUCGAGUGGUGCACGUGGGAGGGGCGGAUUGGAAGGGGGACGGGGGGAGCAGCUGCCUCGGGGGAGUGGUGCACAGGGCAGUUUUUUUGGGUAGAUCUGAGGUUUUUGAAAAUGCAAGGAAGGAGGGAUGCUUCUGUUCCCCCCGCUAGAGGGUGAAGCCUUGUUCACACGGUGCUUCUCCUGCAGGGCCUCCCAGGGGUGCGAGGAAGGGGUGCAGGGCAUUAGUACAUGUAGUGCAGCCGGGUGGGAGAAGGAAUCUGGACCCUGACAACGAGCCAGAAAUAAAGUCAGGUCUCCCCUUUGGUGCCUGCUGCAGCCAAAGUUUAACCCCCCCCUCCCCUCCUGCCUGGCAACAGUGUUUGUGGUGGGGGGCGCUGAGGAGUCUCCUGACAUCAUGGCUCAUUGAAUUUGAGGUCUUCAUCCUCAGGGGUUAAGGACCCUCUCUCUUUUGAACCAUCUUUGAACACACCCAGCAAGCUAGGUUUUUGGUUGGCCUAAGGACAUCGGCAGGCAAGGGUCUUUGAGUCUCUUUCUAUAUGCACAUUACCCAAAGACCCUUGCCUGCCCUGGUCAAGCCAGCCUUUCCUCUGCCGCUCUGCCCUGUUUUUGCUGCUCCUGGUAACGAAGCUCCUAUUUCAUAGCCCUGCGGGCUAUUUUCAAUUCCUUGCAUUUGUUUCUGCUCUAAUCUGAAACUGAAUCAUACAGCCCUAGAUUCCCAGUGUAUUGGAAAAGCUAGUUUCUUUUUUAACUUGAGAAAAACGUGUUUUGUUUAACAGGUGACGAUGCACCUCGCCCUGGGCACCCCGCCUUUUCAAAGUCUAGAUCUGGCUGUGAACGCAGCACGCGCUUUUUUUCAGGCUGGCGGGGCACGGUGAUCGCCCACAGGUGGCGGUGUCAGCGGCGGUGGCGAGUGGGGACCUCCUGCAGGCAGCCACAGUGAUGUCAGCAGCGAGGGCAGGCUGAAUGGGGACCCUGGCAGGUGGCCGCGGCAGUGAGGUGGGAGGUUGGCUAUCGGUGACCAGACGCUGUCGGCAGCGUCGGCAGUGGGGGCUGGAUGGACAAUAAUACGAUAUGAGAUUUGCCCGCCUUGUUUUGAUGGACAGUUUACAAACAGAGGCUGCCACCACGUCCUCUCUAAGUCGUCUUUUCUCCAGGCUGAGCAGUCCC